GAUGAAGAACGUAGCGAAAUGCGAUAAGUAAUGUGAAUUGCAGAAUUCAGUGAAUCAUCGAGUCUUUGAACGCACAUUGCGCCCCCUGGUAUUCCGGGGGGCAUGCCUGUCCGAGCGUCAUCGCUGCCCUCAAGCACGGCUUGUGUGUUGGGCCCCCGCCCCCCGGCUUCGGGGGGCGGGCCCGAAAGGCAGCGGCGGCACCGCGUCCGGUCCUCGAGCGUAUGGGGCUUCGUCACCCGCUCUGUAGGCCCGGCCGGCGCCCGCCGGCGACCCCAAUCAAUCUUUCCAGGUUGACCUCGGAUCAGGUAGGGAUACCCGCUGAACUUAAGCAUAUCAAUAAGCGGAGGA
This 348-nucleotide unclassified non-coding RNA is filed under the name soil metagenome. RNAcentral's name for it is "partial contains 5.8S ribosomal RNA, internal transcribed spacer 2, and large subunit ribosomal RNA". The stretch from base 1 to 120 matches the Rfam family "5.8S ribosomal RNA", at positions 35 to 154 of the family's 154-position model. The record is from RNAcentral.